RNAcentral lists this ribosomal RNA (253 nucleotides) under uncultured bacterium. Its description in RNAcentral is "partial 16S ribosomal RNA". It matches the Rfam family "Bacterial small subunit ribosomal RNA", at positions 524 to 776 of the family's 1533-position model. The record is from RNAcentral.
UACGUAGGGUGCGAGCGUUGUCCGGAAUUAUUGGGCGUAAAGGGCUCGUAGGCGGUUUGUCGCGUCGGGAGUGAAAUCAUCUGGCUUAACUGGGUGCUUGCUUUCGAUACGGGCAGACUAGAGGUAUGCAGGGGAGAACGGAAUUCCUGGUGUAGCGGUGAAAUGCGCAGAUAUCAGGAGGAACACCGGUGGCGAAGGCGGGUCUCUGGGCCGUAACUGACGCUGAGGAGCGAAAGCAUGGGGAGCGAACAGG